This 429-nucleotide ribosomal RNA is filed under the name uncultured bacterium. RNAcentral's name for it is "bacterial SSU rRNA". It matches the Rfam family "Bacterial small subunit ribosomal RNA", at positions 28 to 437 of the family's 1533-position model. The record is from RNAcentral.
GACGAACGCUGGCGGCGUGCCUAAUACAUGCAAGUCGAACGCAUUUUCUUUCACCGUAGCUUGCUACACCGAAAGAAAAUGAGUGGCGAACGGGUGAGUAACACGUGGGUAACCUGCCCAUCAGCGGGGGAUAACACUUGGAAACAGGUGCUAAUACCGCAUAAUUCCAUUUACCGCAUGGUAGAUGGAUGAAAGGCGCUUUUGCGUCACUGAUGGAUGGACCCGCGGUGCAUUAGCUAGUUGGUGGGGUAACGGCCUACCAAGGYUGCGAUGCAUAGCCGACCUGAGAGGGUGAUCGGCCACACUGGGACUGAGACACGGCCCAGACUCCUACGGGAGGCAGCAGUAGGGAAUCUUCGGCAAUGGACGCAAGUCUGACCGAGCAACGCCGCGUGAGUGAAGAAGGUUUUCGGAUCGUAAAACUCUGUU